GUUUUGGUGACCGAGAGCAAAUAGGUGAAAGAUUUUUGAUCUUUUUACAGGAAUUAAUUUCCUCCAAAAUG
Molecule: transfer RNA, 71 nt
Filed under: Hypselodoris festiva
Lineage: Eukaryota; Metazoa; Mollusca; Gastropoda; Nudibranchia; Chromodorididae
Description: tRNA-Lys
Source: RNAcentral